Long non-coding RNA from Heterocephalus glaber (naked mole-rat), 1451 nucleotides. The record is from Ensembl. NCBI's taxonomy places the organism in Eukaryota, Metazoa, Chordata, Mammalia, Rodentia, Bathyergidae.
UCUGUCUUCCCAUCGGCUUGGGCACUCAGCAGCAGAGAUUCGAGUAUUUGAGCAAAGAAUCCAGCGGGAACCCUGAGACGAUGAGACGAGAUCGGCUGCAGCAGCCGCGGGUCCCCGUUAUGCAAGAGCGCGCAGCUGGCUCUAAUGGCAGUCAUUUCGCUCCCUAACCCAGCCGGCGGCCAGUCCCUAAUCUCCGAGUCCUGAGUUUGAGACCCAAAUUGAGCAGUUUGAGGGACGGCGGCGCAGCUUCCGCUCAGAACACGCCGCGCUCCGCCACUCGUGUGUGGCUUCCAGCGGCUACUGAGGCACCUCGUCCUGCAAUCCAGGGCCCCACGGGCCUUCCGACCGACCUGCAAGCUCAAUCGACGUUGGCCCAACUUUCCUUUUGUCCACGUGGGAGCAGUAACAGGCUCCCCUUUUUCACCCAGCCUGGGAGUGUCAAUGGAGGCCUGGCCAUGGUCGGUGUAACCCUGAACCUCAACCCCACCUAGAACUGCCUUGAAGUCCCCUGCGCAGCAGCCACGAAGCUCCCAGCUGACGGCGUACAAUUCCCAACCCAUUUCUGCUGGCGGCACCGCAGGAUCUAAGGGAGGCAGCAUUGUCUCCUGGAAGUCUCCAAACGCAGGGUGCAGAAAGCCACACCCAGAACUCUGAGUUCCAAGCCUCAGUCCCAGGGCCCCAGCCGCUGCGUCCCAGAGCCGGGACUCCAAGAGUGUGUCCGCAGAAAAAAGUGGGCUCGUCCGGGAUUUGAACCCGGGACCUCUCACACCCAAAGCGAGAAUCAUACCCCUAGACCAACGAGCCGCCCUAGAGGAAAAAGCUGACUAGGAUCCUUGCAGUUCUGAGCCCCCGGCUCCGCCCCGCCUGGGGCUGGCCUCCGGGCUCGUCCCCUAAGGCUGCGCAGGGCGUAUUUGGGCGCCAGUUUCAGGGAGCCCAGAGUAGGUGGGGCGGUUCAGGGGCCUUCGCAGAAAGAAGACAGCCCCAAGUCCCCGGCCCACGUCUGAGCCGUCAGGAAGACCAGUGGCUGCGGCCGUGCCCACAAGGGAGUGGAGCCUGAGCAGCCUGCGUGAGCGUCGGGGUCUCACGGCAGAUGCCAACCCAGAACUUUCAUCCUGCGGGGUCCCCAAGCCCGAGACCAACGAGAAUGAAACCGAGGACUGCCGCCUCCCAACCGGCCGGCCGGGAGGGCCAGGGCCCCGCCAGACCCCGCGGGGUCCCGACCUCAGCCAAGCACCUUGUGACCUAGGUCGGCCAGGAAAACCUGCGCAACUCUGAGACCCCGACACAGGAAUCAGAGCUGGGGUCAGGAUUCUUCUCUUCCCAAACGGGCGGCCUGCGAACUCUCCAAACUUUGCCUCCCACCUGCCCUGGCCAGGGAUACAGGGUCUUAGUGAGAUUCUGGGAAGGAGGAGGUCUCCCCGGCUUGUUCCCUCGACGAGGACCUGAGGGUG